CAGCCGCCACGGUAAUACGUAGGGUGCAAGCGUUAAUCGGAAUUACUGGGCGUAAAGCGUGCGCAGGCGGCUAUGCAAGACAGAUGUGAAAUCCCCGGGCUCAACCUGGGAACUGCAUUUGUGACUGUAUAGCUAGAGUACGGUAGAGGGGGAUGGAAUUCCGCGUGUAGCAGUGAAAUGCGUAGAUAUGCGGAGGAACACCGAUGGCGAAGGCAAUCCCCUGGACCUGUACUGACGCUCAUGCACGAAAGCGUGGGGAGCAAACAGGAUUAGAUACCCGUGUAGUCCCUGUCUCUUAUAC
RNAcentral lists this ribosomal RNA (301 nucleotides) under uncultured bacterium. RNAcentral describes it as "partial 16S ribosomal RNA". It matches the Rfam family "Bacterial small subunit ribosomal RNA", at positions 509 to 807 of the family's 1533-position model. The record is from RNAcentral.